This is a long non-coding RNA of Clupea harengus (Atlantic herring), 1738 nucleotides long. Lineage: Eukaryota; Metazoa; Chordata; Actinopteri; Clupeiformes; Clupeidae. The record is from Ensembl.
GAUGGGUGGGGUGGGAUGGUGUAGGAUGGGAUGGUUUGUGGAUUGGAAUGGUGAGACGCAUCUGGUUGGGUGACUGUGUAGUGUGAGCUCUCCAACAUCAGGUCUUUGCCCUGGUUUGUGCCACCAGCUGUUUCAAAUUGGCACUGAAAGGCUCUCCAGAGUAAAUUUGGGCCUUUCCAGGGCUGCAUAAAAUUAACAACCCCUGAUCGGUACUUCUGAAGAUUCGCUAAGUAUUACAGUAAACAUUCUGGCCAGUUGAGGUAAGAAUUCUCCUCAAUACUUUUAAGGAAAGGGUAGCAACCUGUGCUUCUCCCCUUUUUUAACCAGAAUUCCCUCUGGCCUAUGCCCUCACCUAUCUAAACCAGGGUUUGUAUUGGGAGUCUGUCCUAAAGGGGCACAUCUGGUGGAUCUGGACCUGUAAAUGAUGAUCAUUGUUUACAGAGUUUUUUCCGUUUACAGGUUGAAAGCAAAGAGUGAGCUGUUAGACUGGAUGUAGGAAAGUCUAUGUUGGGUUUUGAAAAGCUCACUUUCAGGACUUGUAUGAAAACCAAAAAGUGUGUGUGUGUGUGUGUCUGAGUGAGAAAUGGGGGACAUUAGAAUGAGUGAAAACUACUGUGUAAGAACGUGUGUGUGAGAAUCAAAAGCCAAGAAUCUGUGAAAGAAUGCUGUAUCUUUUCCUACAAAGAGGGGCUAUGUGGUAUGCGUGUGAGGAAGUGUGUCUGUGUGUGUGUCUGGAGAUCGACUGCGGCUGAGAUGGAAUGUUUGGCUGUGGCAAACAUUUGUGUGUGUGGACGCGUGCGCAGGAGUGAGCGUGGUGUGACCUAGGUGUUUUCACACCCUGGGUAGAAUCCAACAAAUUCUAACAUGAUUAGUCUUAUCCAACAAAGAUCCAGUAAACGACCAGAGAACCAUUGUACCGAGAUUAAACCGUUCCCCAGACCUAAAUUGGCUCGAGGCUGUGGGAUAUCUGACAUAAUGUUGGACCUAUUUUUCCAAUCCAAUGUUGAGAUCCUAAAAUUUGUUAAAUUAAGUGAAUUUAGAUACUCCCCACUGCAAGAAAUACAAUAAAAAUGGACCCUUUUUUUUCAAUUAUGGUUUGAGGUCCAUAAAGGUGAAUUUGUGAGAAUUCAUUUUCAGUUUGAAAUCUAAAUGCAAAUGUCAUUAAAUUGGAGCUUUGAAUGACAUAAGAACUGUUAUAUGUCUGUGUAUAACAGCUUAAGAAAAACAUGGUGGGGGUAAAGUUCAGUUUUUUUUUUUCGACUUUUGUUUUCUGUGUAGUUUUGAGUGGAAAUGGUUACAUUUCGGUGGAAGUUUUAUUUCUCUUCUGUUCUAAAAUCUGAAGUCUGUUUAGCCAGAAUGUGAAUGAGAGAGGUAGAACCUUUUUCACAAGGCUAGUUUACCAUCUCAGUAUUAUCUUUUAAAUUCUGCGGUAGAAAAGAAUCUGGCUUGUCAUUUCUGUCCCUGUUCCAAGCACCAGGGAUAAACCAGUCAGACCAAAAUUAUCCAAACCUCUUACUACUUUUAAUUCUGUGGCCCUGCUACCAUUCCCAAAUUUUGCAUAUUAAUUGGUAUAUCAAGCAGUUGAUUCCCCCCCCCCCCCUAUUUAAGGUUGUGUCACCAUCACCUUUAUGCAACUCUGUUGAUUCAUUCCUCUUCUACCUCUCUCAUUGAAAUGAACUGUGUUCUUAACAAAAAUGCAGAGGAUUAUCUGGCUAAAUAAAUAAAAACAAUUGACUGC